RNAcentral lists this ribosomal RNA (461 nucleotides) under Glaucomastix cyanura. RNAcentral's name for it is "partial 16S ribosomal RNA". It matches the Rfam family "Bacterial large subunit ribosomal RNA", at positions 1925 to 2587 of the family's 2925-position model. Lineage: Eukaryota; Metazoa; Chordata; Lepidosauria; Squamata; Teiidae. The record is from RNAcentral.
CAACGGCCGCGGGAUCCUACACCGUGCAAAGGUAGCAUAAUCACUUGUCACCUAAAUAGUGACUAGUAUGAACGGCCCAAUGAGGACUUUCCUGUCUCUUAUAACCAAUCAAUGAAACUGAUCUUCCAGUUCAAAAGCUGAAAUAUAAACACAAGACGAAAAGACCCUGUGGAACUUUCAAGUGUUAAUCAACAACAUGACAUAACCACUUUUAGUUGGGGCAACUUUGGAACAAAACAAAACUUCCAAUAUGAACUACAAAUUUACCCAAAAUUAGGUCCACAAACCAAUUCUUGCUACUUAUAAUGACCCAGUACUACUGAUUAAAGAAACAAGCUACCCCAGGGAUAACAGCGCCAUCCCCUCAUAGAGCCCCAAUCGACGAGGGGGCUUACGACCUCGAUGUUGGAUCAGGGCCCCCAAACAGUGCAACAGCUGUUAAUGGUUUGUUUGUUCAACAA